This 1120-nucleotide long non-coding RNA is filed under the name Carica papaya (papaya). RNAcentral's name for it is "long non-coding RNA (CPAP_LNC008485)". The record is from RNAcentral. Lineage: Eukaryota; Viridiplantae; Streptophyta; Magnoliopsida; Brassicales; Caricaceae.
GUAACAUAGACAAAUUGAGACACUCAAGUUUUGAUUUGUGGUUGAUGUUAAAAGCCUUCAAGUACAUGAUUAUUUAUAGGUACUAGUACUAGUACUACUACUACUACUACUACUACUACUACUACUGUUGUUGUUGUUGCUGCUGCUAUUGUUAUUACUAUUGUUACUUUUACUACUGUUAUUACUGCAAUUACUAUUACAGUUGUAACGGCCCUCCAAUCUGUGGCGAUCCGCCACAGAUUGGCUAUUUUCGGUCGUUUUCGGCUGAAUUCGACCAAACUUGCAUUGGUCCCUACGAUAAAACAACCCUAGGGCCUUCGAUGGGCCAAAAAAUCACGAAAAACUGAGACUUAUUAGUGGCGGUGCUCUCGGGUGCGGCGGCUUCUCCGGCGUGAGUCGCGUUUUGAUGUUUUGCUCCGUUCAACUUGUAGAGAAAAGAACGAUGAUCACAGUGGUAUAAAAAUUGCAUCGAAUGGAGACUGGGAAGGGCCUCAUUGGAGGCAAAAACAGAGGGAAGCCGCGACGACGCCGCCAAACUUCGGCGGGGUUUUCCGACCGAUUGGCCGGUGGCUUGGCUCCGGUUUGGCCAUAGGCGGAUUCAGCAUCGAAAAAUGAUCCAGGGAGAAAAAAUUUACCUCGAUUGGCGGUCAAAAAAUUCUCUGGUGCGGCGGCGGGUGGCGGCGGCCGGCUCCUCCGGCGUCGAGUUCUUCUUCUCCGGCGAGGUACUGGCGGCUAGGGUUUUGUGGUCAGGUGUGGGUGGGGUUAUUUAUACCCUUUGCCUUUUAAUCUCAACCGUCCAUCAAGAUUAAAUCUGGACCGUCCGAUCGCGAUUUAUUUGGAAUUAAAUCUGGACCGUCCAUCGCGAUGUGAUCUGGGCCGUCCGUGCCUGAUUGAAUCUGGGCCGUCCAUGCGUACAUUUGAUCUUGGCCGUCCGUGUGCGGGGGAACAGAUCUGGGCUGUCCGAUCGCGCGCACGCGGAUCGCCCACGUGGCCCGUCCCAUGUCAGCAUUUCCUUGCCACGCGGCAUGUCCUGGUUGGCCCGGAGCUGCGACCGGGCUGCUGACGUGGCUGCUGAUGUGGCACAACUUUUCCAAAUUGUAUUUUGACCCCUGAUUUCUGA